CCUACGGGAGGCAGCAGUGAGGAAUAUUGGUCAAUGGGCGCGAGCCUGAACCAGCCAGGUAGCGUGAAGGAUGACUGCCCUACGGGUUGUAAACUUCUUUUAUAAAGGAAUAAAGUGAGGCACGUGUGCCUUUUUGUAUGUAUUUUAUGAAUAAGGAUCGGCUAACUCCGUGCCAGCAGCCGCGGUAAUACGGAGGAACCGAGCUUUAUCCGGAUUGAUUGGGGUUAAAGGGAGCGUAGAUGGGUUGUUAAGUCAGUUUUGAAAGUUUGCGGCUCAACCGUAAAAUUGCAAUUGAUACUGGCAGCCUUGAGUACAGUAGAGGUAGGCGGAAUUCGUGGUGUAGCGGUGAAAUGCUUAGAUAUCACGAAGAACUCCGAUUGCGAAGGCAGCCUGCUGGACUGUAACUGACGCUGAUGCUCGAAAGUGUGGGUAUCAAACAGGAUUAGAUACCCCUGUAGUC
This 460-nucleotide ribosomal RNA is filed under the name uncultured bacterium. Its description in RNAcentral is "partial 16S ribosomal RNA". It matches the Rfam family "Bacterial small subunit ribosomal RNA", at positions 338 to 795 of the family's 1533-position model. The record is from RNAcentral.